GCUUUUAUAGUUUAAAUGAAAAUGCGAGCUUUGUAAGUUCUUGAUUGGGUUGUCAUAAGAGCA
This 63-nucleotide transfer RNA is filed under the name Asiomorpha coarctata. RNAcentral's name for it is "tRNA-Thr". The record is from RNAcentral. Lineage: Eukaryota; Metazoa; Arthropoda; Diplopoda; Polydesmida; Paradoxosomatidae.